UCUUUUUUAGAUCAGUAUUACUUUAAUUCCUUCUUUCUUUUAGCAGUAUUUCUCUAUAUCUGUGAAAUAAUAGUUCACUGACCUAAAUCUUGAACCUUCAGUGAGGAUGUUUAUCUAGUUAUAAUAAUUGAAGCAUUCUUUCUUAUUUCGUAUGUAUGAUAUAUUUUACCCUUGCAUAAUGCCUUCCUUAUUGGUGAGAAGAGGGAUUUGCCCGUUCAAGAUAAAAAGGAUGGGACAGUAUGAGCUGUAUCAAAGUGAGUCAGUGCUGCUCCCUGGCUGGGGAAACUACCUGGGAAAUUAUUGAUUAAAGGGGAAAAGUGAGAGAGCUUAUUGGUCCUGGCUCAUCAAGGAACUGAUUUGUUUGGCUCUCGAAGCUGUACAAAUGAGCAGUGACUGAUCAAACUACCAUCAUUUAGGUCAUAUCAAGAGACAGCAAACGGGAAGGACACAUGCCAGAAAGAUCCACUACAAAUUUGUUUUGUUAAAUUGUUAGUUUACUUUUUCCACUGGCGAGAGAAGAGAUAUGUUGUCCAGUCAAUUUUUCCAUCUCUCUUGAGUCAGGGAAACCAAAUCAGGUACAAAUGCCUCUUGUAUUGUGUCUCAACUCAGAGAAGGUGUUGACUAGGGAGAAUGUUCACAAGUGUUCCUGUGUUGCCAAAUAAUUGUCAACCAGUUCUAGUAAUCAUUGUGCCAGAUGAACCAUGACCAAAGUGGCAAUUGCUGAUAGACCCUGAAUUUUGGGAAGGACCUUUUGAUGCAGUAACUAGGUCUUUGCCCAGCUUACAUCACAAAUCAACAAGCAGGCCUGAUGUCUGCAUCAGAAAGGAUAUAUGAAGUUAUGUGACAGUACAAUGCCACCUGCACGUCCAGAACUUCUUUCCUCAAAACUUCUAAGGAAACUACGCCAUUUGCUCAAAAUUUAUGAUUUUUGGACCUUUAUUCAGCCCCUCUUGGUCACCUUCUUAUUUUGUGAAGAACAUAAAUCGUCUUAUUGCCAAACAGUUAGUUUGCAUAAUUUUACAAUUACUGACUUUCAGUAUUUUGCUGCUUUGAUGACUCCACUUGAUGGGUACAGUAUGACAACAGAAGUGCUCCUGAAUUUUUUCAGAGGGAUAUGUCCUAAAUUCAUUUGA
This 1133-nucleotide long non-coding RNA is filed under the name Numida meleagris (helmeted guineafowl). Its description in RNAcentral is "lncRNA (ENSNMEG00000017508.1)". The record is from RNAcentral. Lineage: Eukaryota; Metazoa; Chordata; Aves; Galliformes; Numididae.